This is a long non-coding RNA of Oncorhynchus keta (chum salmon), 4089 nucleotides long. RefSeq lists it as uncharacterized. The transcript has 5 exons. NCBI's taxonomy places the organism in Eukaryota, Metazoa, Chordata, Actinopteri, Salmoniformes, Salmonidae. The record is from RefSeq and is a predicted model, not a curated record.
UAAUGGCAUCAGUUUAAUUUUUAAAAGUUACGUUUAGUCUCAGAUAAAUGGACAAGUAUAAAGCGACUGUGUAAAAGUACAAUGUCAUUUAGAGAGGCGCAAACUUGAGCCAUUACGCGCGUCAGAAAACAAACCGCUUCAGCCUAUGUGAUUGAUUACAUGUUCACUGGCUACGCACUUUAUUUGUAAUGACUUGUUUUUAGAAAAUGAUAGAUAUAGAGAAAUAUUCACAGCGUCAAUUUUUUUUUAAAGGUGUGAAAAGUUGAAAUAGCCUAAUCCUGUAAGAAUGCAGUGAUGUACGCUAUAGGGGACUACAUACAUCACGUCUCGGGGAGCAUGGUGUACUGUAGAAGUGAUUGUGCUUCCUCAUACCCAGGGCUUCUCUGAGACAUUCUUGUCUCAAAUGGCAAUAUGGGGAGGGACUGGCUGCAUAAAAUGAUACAUACAAGCAGGCUUGCGCAUCCACACUAUUCCAAUUUACCCAAUGUGACUUCUGAUGACUUUUUCUACCUGACAUUAUACAUCUGAAUGAAUGAGUAAAUGUAAUUAAAUGUUCUUGUCAAAUAGCCAGUUGGCAACCCACCCGUUAUGGGAUUAAUUUACACAUAAACAAACAUUGUAAUAAUUCAGUGAUUUAAAAAAAAUAAUGAUAAUAUUUGGGUGUUCUCUGCUCAUAACAAACCUACCCACGGGGCUCCUACGUCAAAUCAAUGUCUAUUCCACGUUGGUUCAACCGUAUUUAUUUUAAAUGACGUGGAAACAACAUCGAUUCAACCAUUGUGUGACAAGUGGGCAUAAUCAUAAUGCCUCUUUUAUUGGCCUCAUCAACUCAGCUGUUUGAAAAAACACAUGUUUAUUUUACCAGGCAAGUCGGUUAAGAACAAAUUCUUAUUUACAAUGACGGCCUAGUGGGUUAACUGCCUGUUCAGGGGCAGAAUGACAGAUUUGUACCUUGUCAGCUCAGGGGUUUUGAACUCGCAACCUUCCGGUUACUAGUCCAACACUCUAACCACUAGGCUACGCUGCUGCCCCAUGUUGGCUGCCAUGGUUACAGGGAGAGUAGAGGAAUAUUUACCUGUCUAUUGUUUAAGCUGCUAUGGUACUGUGUUUUGUUACCUGGUUACAAUACUUUCUGGCUGUCUGACGAAGGCAUAUUCUAUUCUUGUUGCAGGCUGACGUUUUAGAGUCAUGAAUUUAGCCCUGGAGGCAGAACUGAGCAUUUUCCGCUAGAUGGGCCAGCUGCAAAGUCAAAAUUGUCUACAGUACCUGUCCAACGUUUGGACACACCAACUCAUUCAAGGGUUUUUCUUUUAUCUUUUACUAUUUUCUACAUUCUAGCGUAAUAGUGAAGACAUCAAAACUAUGGAGUCAUGUAGUAAACGGUUAAACAAAUCAAAAUAUGUUUUAGAUUCUUCAAAGUAGCCACCCUUUGCCUUACGACAACUUUGCAUUCUCUCAACCAGCUUAACCUGGAAUGCUUUUCCAACAGUCUUGAAGGAGUUCCCACAUAUGCUGAGCACUGUGUUGGCUGCUUUUCCUUCACUCUGCGGUCCAACUCAUCCCAAACCAUCUCAAUUGGGUUGAGGUCGGUUCAUUGUGGAGGCCAAGUCAUCUGAUGCAGCACUCCAUCACUCUCCUUCUUGGUCAAAUAGCCCUGGAGGUGUGUUGGGUCAUUGUCCUGUUGAAAAACCUAAGCGCAAACCAGAUGGGAUGGUGUAUCACUGCAGAAUGCUGUGGUAGCCAUGCUGGUUAAGUGUGCCUUGAAUUCUAAAUAAAUCACAGACCGUGUCACCAGAAAAGCACCAUCACACCUCCUCCUCCAUGCUUCACGGUGGGAACCACACAUGUGGAGAUCAUCUGUUCACCUACUCUGCGUCUCACAAAGACACGGCGGUUGGAACCAAAAAUCUAAAUUUUGGACUCUUCAGAACAAAGGACAGAUUUUCCCGGUCUAAUGUCCAUUGCUCGUGUUUCUUGGCCCAAGCAAGUCUCUUCUUCUUAUUGGUGUCCUUUAGUAGUGGUUUCUUUGUAGCAAUUCUACCAUGAAGGCCUGAUUCACGCAGUCUCCUCUGAACAGUUGAUGUUGUGAUGUGUCUGAUAAUUGAACUCUGAAGCAUUUAUUUUGGCUGCAAUUUCUGAGGCUGGUAACUCUAAUGAACUUAUCCUCUGCAGCAGAGGUAACUCUGGGUCUUCCUUUCCUGUGACGGUCCUCAUGAGAGCCAGUUUCAUCAUAGUGCUUGAUGGUUUUUGCGACUGCACUUAAACUUUCAAAGUUCUUGAAAUGCUCUGCAUUGACUGACCUUCAUGUCUUAAAGUAAUGAUGGACUGUCGUUUCUCUUUGCUUAUUUGAGUUGUUCUUGCCAUAAUAUGGACUUGGUCUUUUACCAAAUAGGGCUAUGUUCUGUAUACCACCCUUAACUUGUCACAACACAACUGAUUGGCUCAAACGCAUUAAGAAGGAAAGAAAUUCCACAAAUUAACUUUUUAACUAGGCACACCUGUUAAUUGAAAUGCAUUACAGGUGACUACUUCAUGAAGCUGGUUGAGAGAAUGCCAAGUGUGCAAAGCUGUCAAGGCAAAGGGUGGCUACUUUGAAGAAUCUCAAAUAUAAGACAUUUAUUUAUUUAUUUAUUUUUGGUUACCACAUGUUUCCAUGUGUUAUUUAAUAGUUUUGAUGAAUUCACUAUUAUUCUAUAAUAGUACAAGUAAAGAAACCCUUGUAUGAGUAGGUUUGUCCAAACCUUUGCCUACCACUGUAUCUCUAGGGCAGGGCUGUCUAACCCUCUUCCUGGGGAUCUACCGUCCUGUCGGUUCAGUCUAAUCCUCUUCCUGGGGAUCUACCGUCCUGUCGGUUCAGUCUAACCCUCUUCCUGGGGAUCUACCGUCCUGUCGGUUCAGUCCAACCCUCUUCCUGGGGAUCUACUGUCCUGUAGGUUCAGUCUAACCCUCUUUCUGGGGAUCUACCGUCCUGUCGGUUCAGUCUAACCCUCUUCCUGGGGAUCUACUGUCCUGUUGGUUCAGUCCAACCCUCUUCCUGGGGAUCUACCGUCCUGUCGGUUCAGUCCAACCCUCUUCCUGGGGAUCUACUGUCCUGUAGGUUCAGUCUAAUCCUCUUCCUGGGGAUCUACCGUCCUGUCGGUUCAGUCCAACCCUCUUCCUGGGGAUCUACCGUCCUGUCUGUUCAGUCUAAUCCUCUUCCUGGGGAUCUACCGUCCUGUCGGUUCAGUCCAACCCUCUUCCUGGGGAUCUACCGUCCUGUCUGUUCAGUCCAACCCUCUUCCUGGGGAUCUACCGUCCUGUAGGGUCAGUCUAACCCUCUUCCUGGGGAUCUACCGUCCUGUAGGUUCAGUCUAACCCUCUUCCUGGGGAUCUACCGUCCUGUAGGUUCAGUCUAAUCCUCUUCCUGGGGAUCUACCGUCCUGUAGGUUCAGUCUAAUCCUCUUCCUGGGGAUCUACCGUCCUGUAGGUUCAGUCUAAUCCUCUUCCUGGGGAUCUACCGUCCUGUCGGUUCAGUCCAACCCUCUUCCUGGGGAUCUACCGUCCUGUAGGUUCAGUCCAACUCUCUUCCUGGGGAUCUACUGUCCUGUAGGUUCAGUCCAACCCUCUUCCUGGAGAUCUACUGUUCUGUAGGUUCAGUCCAACCCUCUUCCUGGAGAUCUACUAUUCUGUAGGUUCAGUCCAACUCUAAUUUAGCAUAUCAGAUUCAGCUAGUUAAGGUCUUGUUGAGCAGCUAAUUAGAAUCAGGUGUGUUAAAUUAGGGUUGGACUGAACCCACAGGACAGUAGAUCUCCAGGAAGAGGGUUGAACAGCCCUGAUCUAGGGUGUCUACCCACACUGCCCAGAGUGGGUGAAAAAUGUACUUUGCUGUUGAAAUUAAACUUCAUGUUAUAAAAUACAUUUUACUGAGACAAAUAUGAUUUUUUUUUCAUGUUCUGAAUCGUUCAGUGUGGUCUUUCUCUCUAACAUAUCAACAUCUACACCCAGAUAGCCUGAUUUCGUAACCUAAUACAUCCCAUAAUAAGCACCGAGAAAUAAGCUUUGAGUACGGAACAUUUCUGGGAUCUUUUAUUUCAGCUCAUGAAAGAUGAA